Molecule: transfer RNA, 90 nt
Filed under: Fluviirhizobium alvei
Lineage: Bacteria; Pseudomonadati; Pseudomonadota; Alphaproteobacteria; Hyphomicrobiales; Rhizobiaceae
Description: tRNA-Ser
Rfam family: tRNA
About the family: Transfer RNA (tRNA) molecules are approximately 80 nucleotides in length. Their secondary structure includes four short double-helical elements and three loops (D, anti-codon, and T loops).
Source: RNAcentral
GGAGAGGUGGUAGAGUGGUCGAUUGCACCGCACUCGAAAUGCGGAGUACCUUCACGGGUACCGUGGGUUCGAAUCCCACCCUCUCCGCCA